UCCAUCUUUGGUUGCAGUUUUGGACAGAAU
RNAcentral lists this non-coding RNA (30 nucleotides) under Rattus norvegicus (Norway rat). The record is from RNAcentral. Lineage: Eukaryota; Metazoa; Chordata; Mammalia; Rodentia; Muridae.